CACCCAUGGCACCCAUCGCAAUGGCACCCGGGGCACCCAUGGCUUUGGAAUGGCACCCAUGGCAUUGCAAUGGCAAACAAUGGCACCCAAUGGCACCCAAUGGUAUUGCAAUGGGACCCGGGGCACCCAUGGCUUUGGAAUGGCAACCAAUGGCACCCAAUGGCACCCAAUGGUAUUGCAAUGGCACCCAAUGGUAUUGGAAUGGCACCCAAUGGCACCCAAUGGCACCCACGGUAUUGGAAUGGCACCCAAUGGCACCCAAUGGUAUUGGAAUGGCACCCAAUGGCACCCAAUGGUAUUGGAAUGGCAACCAAUGGCACCCAAUGGUAUUAGAAUGGCACCCAAUGGAAACUCAAUGGCACCCAUGGCCUUGUCCGAGUCGAACAGCGCCCUGCCGGCACCCAGCGCACCCAGCGCACCCAUAGCACCCAUCGCAAUGGCACCCGGGGCACCCAUGGCUUUGGAAUGGCACCCAAUGCUAUUGGAAUGGCAACCAAUGGCACCCAAUGGUAUUGCAAUGGCACCCAAUGGCACCCAUGGCAUUGCAAUGGCACCCAAUGGCACCCAUGGCAUUGCAAUGGCACCCAAUGGCACCCAAUGGUAUUGGAAUGGCACCCAUGGCACCCAAUGGUAUUGGAAUGGCACCCAAUAGCACCCAAUGGUAUUGGAAUGGCACCCAAUAGCACCCAAUGGUAUUGGAAUGGCACCCAAAGGCACCCAUGGUAUUGGAAUAGCACCCAUGGCAUUGUAAUGGCACCCAAUGGCACCCAAUGGAAACUUAAUGGCACCCAAAGGCACCCAUGGUAUUGCAAUGGCACCCAAAGGCACCCAAUGGAAACUUAAUGGCAUUGUAAUGGCACCCAAUGGC
Molecule: long non-coding RNA, 868 nt
Filed under: Phasianus colchicus (ring-necked pheasant)
Lineage: Eukaryota; Metazoa; Chordata; Aves; Galliformes; Phasianidae
Description: lncRNA (ENSPCLG00000016900.1)
Source: RNAcentral